This 774-nucleotide ribosomal RNA is filed under the name uncultured Neocallimastigales. RNAcentral's name for it is "partial large subunit ribosomal RNA". It matches the Rfam family "Eukaryotic large subunit ribosomal RNA", at positions 24 to 646 of the family's 3401-position model. The record is from RNAcentral. Lineage: Eukaryota; Fungi; Neocallimastigomycota; Neocallimastigomycetes; Neocallimastigales.
GUAGUCUCGCACAGAUGCAUAUCAAUAAGCGGAGGAAAAGAAACUAACAAGGAUUCCCCUAGUAACGGCGAGUGAAGCGGGAAGAGCUCAAAUUUGAAAUCUUAAAGGGUUUCCCUUUACGAAUUGUAGUUUAAAGAAGUGUUUUCUGUUGAGGUUUUGGUAAAAGUUCUUUGGAAUAGGACAUCAUAGAGGGUGAGAAUCCCGUAUUUGACCUUUACUUUCAACUUUGUGAUACACUUUCAAAGAGUCGGAUUGUUUGGGAAUGCAGUCCAAAAUGGGUGGUAAAUUUCAUCUAAAGCUAAAUAUUGGCGAGAGACCGAUAGCGAACAAGUACCGUGAGGGAAAGAUGAAAAGAACUUUGAAAAGAGAGUUAAACAGUACGUGAAAUUGUCAAAGGGAAGCGUUUGACACCAGUGUUGUUUUUCUGAAAAUCAAUUAAAGAACUGUUUAUGCUAAGUUGUUUAGACUUUAUCAGCUAACUGUUUAGUUUUGAGCUUUUCUUUAAUGCACUUUUCAGUUAACAAGUCAACAUCAAUUUCUUUUGCUGUAAAAAAGCUUGAGGAAGGUGGCUUGAGAUUCGUCCUUAAGUGUUUAUAGCCUCUUGCCUAUGCAGUCGGAGAGAUUGAGGUCUGCAGCGUAGAUCCUUCGGGGCUAAAUGCAUUUGUGCUAAGUUAUAGCAUUUUAUAGACAGCUUGUUGACUAUGAUUUGUCUUGUAGCUUACUCGCUUAUGUUAUUUUACCUACGCUUAGGAUGUUGAUCUGUAGUGCGUGCGC